AAAAGGUCUUUGUGUGUGUAUGUAUGUGUCUCUCUCUCGCUCUCUCUCUCUCUCUCUGUCACUCACACACACACAAACACACACAGAGAGGGAGAGAAAAUCAAGUUUCUAGGUCAGUCAAGCAGCCUGGGAGCUGCUAAAUUUAAAUCCACCAAUCAGAGAGGCUGUGUACUUUUUCCCACCAAAACUGGUGCACCUGCUUACACACACACAGCACAGGGAGAGACAAGCAAGUUUCUAGGUCAGUCAAGCAGCCUGGGAGCUGCUAAAUUUGAAUCCACCAAUCAGAGAGGCUGUGUACUUUUUCCCGCCAAAACAGGUGCAGCCGUUUUUACACACUCAGCACAGAGAGAGACAGGAUUUCUGCAGUGUAUUUCUCAUAGUGAGGAUUCCUCUCAAACAAAUGGCCAUAAUUUCCUAACCGUAGGGGCUAGAACGGUCAUUCUUACACCAUUUUGUUCAGAAGAGAUGGGGGAAUCUUAAAGUGUUGACAAUUUAUCAUUAAAAUAUGAAUUAUUAAAGAUAUUUGACUUCUAAUGCACCAUAACUGAGUAGAGCAAAGCAAAAACUGCCUUGACUUGCCCUCAAACAACGCUUUCUAACUCUAAAUCUAUUUGGAGUAUCAAUAUCAUUCUUUCACCGUAAGAGACAGCAGGCUUUGGUGAACAAUCAUGGAAAUUUUCAGGUCUCUGUGGAAAUCCAUUAAAAAGAUAUGACGAGAGAAAAAAGUGGUUCAUUUCCAGAGUUUGAAAUCUGAAGAAAUCUGAGCGAAGGACGAAUUUCCUACCCUCAAACAAGUCUAACUCAUUUCAGAACGGUAAUAGGUGAGAAAAUAAUUCUUGAAUUGUGAGCGUCAGGAGUGUCUGAAGAUAUACUGGGACAAGCCUUAUGUCUUAACUUUGCUUCGUUAAGGAGAUAUGACGAUUCGAAUAUGCCUCUCAUUACAGAAAUCAAGCGGUGAUUUUGAACAAGCUCUCCAUUGACUUUCUAUGGAGAGUUUUGCGACUUUGUGUUGGUCUGAGGAGAUUUGCCAAAAUUCUAUAAAUCUCACAACAAUGAUGGUGACAUUUUCUGAAAGCCAGCAAAAAUGCCUACGUUUUGAUGUAUAAUUUGUGUGGGUUGAGUGAAAAUUGAGUGAGUAGCAAGAAGUUGUUCGGACAUGAAGAGAAAAUUGCCAAAGGUACAGUGGCUCACUUAGAACCAACUGCAUAGCAACCAUAACAACGCAUGUAUUUUGUGAAAAAUCACAAAGAUGAAACUCAAAACUUAAAGAGGGAUAAGAUGAAAACGGUAACAGAUAUGAAAAAGCUGAAUCAUUCAUGAAUAGCCCAAUAAUUUGUGAACAUUUUAAAGUUUGAAUGGUUGUUCUACGUGAAAGUAGGAAAAAGUAGUUAAGUUUCAAAAACAAGCAAGUUUUAGCAGAAUUGCGGAAGUUUCCCAUUCAUUUCAAUGGGACAAAUUAAAGGAAAAAAGCUUAAUAUUUUAAAAAGUAUAAUAGUAUAAAAUACCAAAAGUCAUAGCCGGAAUUAGCAGAAAUAGCAGAAUAGUUUAAAACUUGAACGGUGAAAAUCGGCUGAAAAUUGUUAAAGUAGUUAAGUGCCAAAAAAAGUACAAAAAAUUGGCAACUAGAAUAAUAAAGUACGAUAAAGAAUAAAGAGAAACAGGAACUCAAUAGUGUGGAUGCCUAAAGCAUCCACACAACUAGAAAAAUCUGCAUUUCCUGCGAAAAUGCUGUGUGGAUGCCUUAACGCUGAAGCUGUCUGCUGAAAAUGACUGAAAAAGAUGAAAAGCUGCUAAAAAUUAUAUGGCAGUAAAGAAACUGAAAAAUUCUGCUGAAAAGAGCUGAAGAAGCAGAAUUUUUUGCUGAAAAGCGGUGAAAAGGCAAAGAUUCUGCUUAAAAGGGGUAAAGAAAUUUGUACUGAAAAGAGGUGAAAAAGUUUCUUCUGAAAUGACCAGAAGAUACUGAGACUUAUACUGAUAAGAGGUGAAAGGCUGAAAAUUCUGCUUAAAAUAGGUGAAUCAGCAGAAUUUCUACUGAAAACAGGUAAAGAAGUAGAAAGUUGCACUGAAAACAGGUGAAAAAGCAGAAUUUCUGCUAAAAAACAGAUUUCUGCUGAAAACACCUGAAAAAGCCGGGAUUUGUGUUGAAAAGGGGUGACGAAACUCACAAUUCUGCUGAAACGGGGUGAAGAAGAGGUGUUGUGGUCUUGAGAAGAGUUAAAUAAGUUGAACUGAUAUGUUUGGGUACAAAUACUAUGAUUUGGCAAUAAUACUGCGUUUUAGCACAACUACUGAGAUUUGAUUAAAAUAUUAUGACUUUGUACAAAUACAAUGUUUUGGCACAAAUACUAUGAUUUAGUUCGAAUGCUAUGAUUUGAAACAAAUACUAUGAUUUGGCAGAAAUACUAUGAUUUAUUAGAAAUACUAUAAUUUACCAGAAAUUCUCUGUUUCUGCAAAAACACUCUGAUUUUGAAAAUUACUAUGCCUUAGUAGUAAUACUAUAACAUAACAGAUAUACUGUGAUUAUGCAGACAUUCUGUUUUUACACAAAUACUAUAAUAUGGCAGAAAUACUAUGUUUUAGUACAAAUACUAUGAUUUGCUUUAAAUACUAUGAUUUGGCACAUAUACUAUGAUUUGUUAUAAAUACUAUGAUUUGGCACAUAUACUAUAUUCAGCAGAUAUACUAUAACAUAACAGAAAGUCUACGACUUAGAAGUAAUACUAUAACAUAACAGAUAUACUGUGAUUAUGCAGACAUUCUGUUUUUACACAAAUACUAUAAUAUGGCAGAAAUACUAUGUUUUAGUACAAAUACUAUGAUUUGCUUUAAAUACUAUGAUUUGGCACAUAUACUAUAUUCAGCACAUAUACUUUAACAUAUGAUUUAGAAGAAAUACUAUGACUCCAUACAAAUACGAUGCUUUGGCACAAAUAUUAUGAUUUGCUAUAAAUACUAUGAUUUGGCACAUAUACUAUAUUCAGCAGAUAUACUAUAACAUAACAGAAAGUCUACGACUUAGUAGUAAUACUAUAACAUAACAGAUAUAGUAUGAUUUUGCAGACAGUCUAUGUUUUUGUACAAAUACCACAAUAUGGCAGAAAUACUAUGAUUCGGCACAAGUACUAUGAUUUAGUACAAAUACUAUGAUUGGGCAGAAAUACUAUGUUUCAGUACAAAUACUAUGAUUUGGCAGGAAUAGUAUGAUUUAGCAGAAAUACUAUGAUUGGGUACAAAUACUACGAAUUGGCAGAAAUACUGUGACUUAGUAGCAAUACUAUAACAUAACAGAUAUACUGUGAUUAUGCAGACAUUCUGUUUUUACACAAAUACUAUAAUAUGGCAGAAAUACUAUGUUUUAGUACAAAUACUAUGAUUUGCUUUAAAUACUACGAUUUGGCACAUAUACUAUAUUCAGCACAUAUACUUUAACAUAUGAUUUAGAAGAAAUACUAUGACUCCAUACAAAUACGAUGCUUUGGCACAAAUACUAUGAUUUGCUCUAAAUACUAUGAUAUGGCACAUAUACUAUGAUUUGCUAUAAAUACUAUGAUUUGGCACAUAUACUAUAUUCAGCAGAUAUACUAUAACAUAACAGAAAGUCUACGACUUAGAAGUAAUACUAUAACAUAACAGAUAUACUGUGAUUAUGCAGACAUUCUGUUUUUACACAAAUACUAUAAUAUGGCAGAAAUACUAUGAUUUGGCACAAGUACUAUGAUUUAGUACAAAUACUAUGAUUGGGCAGAAAUACUAUGUUUCAGUACAAAUCCUAUGAUUUGGCAGGAAUAGUAUGAUUUAGCAGAAAUACUAUGAUUGGGUACAAAUACUACGAAAUACUACAAAUACCUGAAAACAGGUGAAGAAGCACAAAUUUUUGCUGAAAAGUGGUGGAAAGAAAUUUUGCCAUGAGCAGGAUUUGAACCUGGCCUUCCUGGUCUCAAGGGAGCUACUCAUCUCACUGAGCCAAACUCAUUCUCUCAAAGAAGAGGUGGAUAGACUGACAAUUCUGCUGAAAUCAGCAGAAGCUGCUGAGAAUUGUGCUGAUAAGAGGCGAAAAGGAUGAAAAUUUUGCAGAAAAGAGGUGAAUCAGCAGAAUUUCUGCAGAAAAGAGGCAAAGAAGCAGAAAGUUGUGCUGAAAAGAGGUGAAUCAGCAGAGUUUCUGCUGAAAAGAGUUUUUUUUCUGAAAACAGCCCAAAAAAGCUGGAAUUUGUGCUGAAAAGGGGUGAAAAAAAUGAAAAUUUUGCUGAAAAGGGGUGAAGAAGCUAAAGUAUACCAAAUCAAAGUAUUUGUGCCAAAACAUAGUGUUUCUGCCAUAUUGUGGUACUACUACAUUACAACAUGAAUACGGAUUAAAGAUGAAAGAAACUGGCAACAAAUUCCUCCACUACAAACCAGUCUGAUACCACUUCUUUGCAGUGUUCACGUUUACUAAGGCACUACCCAAAAGGCGCCACAAGAGGGCACUCCAACAC
This is a long non-coding RNA of Oreochromis niloticus (Nile tilapia), 4476 nucleotides long. Lineage: Eukaryota; Metazoa; Chordata; Actinopteri; Cichliformes; Cichlidae. The record is from Ensembl.